UGGGGAAUAUUGGACAAUGGGGGGAACCCUGAUCCAGCCAUGCCGCGUGUGUGAAGAAGGCCUUAUGGUUGUAAAGCACUUUAAGCGAGGAGGAGGGUACUGGUAUUAAUACUACCAGCUACUGGACGUUACUCGCAGAAUAAGCACCGGCUAACUCUGUGCCAGCAGCCGCGGUAAUACAGAGGGUGCGAGCGUUAAUCGGAUUUACUGGGCGUAAGGCGUGCGUAGGCGGCUAAUUGAGUCGGAUGUGAAAUCCCCGAGCUUAACUUGGGAAUUGCAUUCGAUACUGGUUAGCUAGAGUGUGGGGGAGGAUGGUAGAAUUCCAGGUGUAGCGGUGAAAUGCGUAGAGAUCUGGAGGAAUACCGAUGGCGAAGGCAGCCAUCUGGCCUAACACUGACGCUGAGGUACGAAAGCAUGGGGAGCAAACAGG
RNAcentral lists this ribosomal RNA (430 nucleotides) under Pseudomonadota bacterium. RNAcentral describes it as "Proteobacteria bacterium partial 16S ribosomal RNA". It matches the Rfam family "Bacterial small subunit ribosomal RNA", at positions 355 to 776 of the family's 1533-position model. The record is from RNAcentral. Lineage: Bacteria; Pseudomonadati; Pseudomonadota.